AAGUCGUAACAAGGUUUCCGUAGGUGAACCUGCGGAAGGAUCAUUAAAAAAGGAUACCGGGCAACCGGUAGACCCCACCCGUGUCUCUCUACUCUUGUUGCUUUGGCAGGCCGUGGCCUCCACCGCGGGCUCUGCCUGCGUGUGCCUGCCAGAGGACCAAACUCUGAAUUUUAGUGAUGUCUGAGUACUAUAUAAUAGUUAAAACUUUCAACAACGGAUCUCUUGGUUCUG
RNAcentral lists this unclassified non-coding RNA (231 nucleotides) under fungal sp. RNAcentral's name for it is "partial internal transcribed spacer region". The stretch from base 1 to 46 matches the Rfam family "Eukaryotic small subunit ribosomal RNA", at positions 1786 to 1831 of the family's 1831-position model. RNAcentral also lists the same sequence under 1 other name. Lineage: Eukaryota; Fungi. The record is from RNAcentral.